CCCUGAUGCCGUCGAGCCAAGAAAAGUUUCUAAGUUUAGCUAAUGUUGCCCGUACCGUAAACCGACACAGGUGGGUGGGAUGAGUAUUCUAAGGCGCGUGGAAGAACUCUCUUUAAGGAACUCUGCAAAAUAGCACCGUAUCUUCGGUAUAAGGUGUGGUUAGCUUUGUAUUAGGAUUUACUCCGAAAGCAAGGAAACUUACAACAAAGAGUCCCUCCCGACUGUUUACCAAAAACACAGCACUCUGCUAACUCGUAAGAGGAUGUAUAGGGUGUGACGCCUGCCCGGUGCUCGAAGGUUAAUUGAUGGGGUUAGCAUUAGCGAAGCUCUUGAUCGAAGCCCGAGUAAACGGCGGCCGUAACUAUAACGGUCCUAAGGUAGCGAAAUUCCUUGUCGGUUAAAUACCGACCUGCAUGAAUGGCGUAACGAGAUGGGAGCUGUCUCAAAGAGGGAUCCAGUGAAAUUGUAGUGGAGGUGAAAAUUCCUCCUACCCGCGGCAAGACGGAAAGACCCCGUGGACCUUUACUACAGCUUGACACUGCUACUUGGAUAAGAAUGUGCAGGAUAGGUGGGAGGCUUUGAGUAUAUGACGCCAGUUGUAUAUGAGCCAUUGUUGAGAUACCACUCUUUCUUAUUUGGGUAGCUAACCAGCUUGAGUUAUCCUCAAGUGGGACAAUGUCUGGUGGGUAGUUUGACUGGGGCGGUCGCCUCCCAAAUAAUAACGGAGGCUUACAAAGGUUGGCUCAGAACGGUUGGAAAUCGUUCGUAGAGUAUAAAGGUAUAAGCCAGCUUAACUGCAAGACAUACAAGUCAAGCAGAGACGAAAGUCGGUCUUAGUGAUCCGGUGGUUCUGUGUGGAAGGGCCAUCGCUCAAAGGAUAAAAGGUACCCCGGGGAUAACAGGCUGAUCUCCCCCAAGAGCUCACAUCGACGGGGAGGUUUGGCACCUCGAUGUCGGCUCAUCGCAUCCUGGGGCUGGAGCAGGUCCCAAGGGUAUGGCUGUUCGCCAUUUAAAGCGGUACGCGAGCUGGGUUCAGAACGUCGUGAGACAGUUCGGUCCCUAUCUGCCGUGGGCGUAAGAAGAUUGAAGAGAUUUGACCCUAGUACGAGAGGACCGGGUUGAACAAACCACUGGUGUAGCUGUUGUUCUGCCAAGAGCAUCGCAGCGUAGCUAAGUUUGGAAAGGAUAAACGCUGAAAGCAUCUAAGCGUGAAGCCAACUCUAAGAUGAAUCUUCUCUAAGCUCUCUAGAAGACUACUAGUUUGAUAGGCUGGGUGUGUAAUGGAUGAAAGUCCUUUAGCUGACCAGUACUAAUAGAGCGUUUGGCUUAUCUUUAAUAAAGCAU
This 1344-nucleotide ribosomal RNA is filed under the name Campylobacter jejuni. RNAcentral's name for it is "partial 23S ribosomal RNA". It matches the Rfam family "Bacterial large subunit ribosomal RNA", at positions 1592 to 2925 of the family's 2925-position model. The record is from RNAcentral. Lineage: Bacteria; Pseudomonadati; Campylobacterota; Epsilonproteobacteria; Campylobacterales; Campylobacteraceae.